AAGCUGAUCCAGCCAUGCCGCGUGUGUGAAGAAGGCCUUUUGGUUGUAAAGCACUUUAAGCGAGGAGGAGGCUACUUGGAUUAAUACUCUAGGAUAGUGGACGUUACUCGCAGAAUAAGCACCGGCUAACUCUGUGCCAGCAGCCGCGGUAAUACAGAGGGUGCGAGCGUUAAUYGGAUUUACUGGGCGUAAAGCGUGCGUAGGCGGCUUUUUAAGUYGGAUGUGAAAUCCCUGAGCUUAACUUAGGAAUUGCAUUCGAUACUGGGAAGCUAGAGUAUGGGAGAGGAUGGUAGAAUUCCAGGUGUAGCGGUGAAAUGCGUAGAGAUYUGGAGGAAUACCGAUGGCGAAGGCAGCCAUYUGGCCUAAUACUGACGCUGAGGUACGAAAGCAUGGGGAGCAAACAGGAUUAGAUACCCUGGUAGUCCAUGCCGUAAACGAUGUYUACUAGCCGUUGGGGCCUUUGAGGCUUUAGUGGCGCAGCUWACGCGAUAAGUAGACCGCCUGGGGAGUACGGUYGCAAGACUAAAACUCAAAUGAAUUGACGGGGGCCCGCACAAGCGGUGGAGCAUGUGGUUUAAUUYGAUGCAACGCGAAGAACCUUACCUGGUCUUGACAUAGUAAGAACUUUCCAGAGAUGGAUUGGUGCCUUYGGGAACUUACAUACAGGUGCUGCAUGGCUGUYGUCAGCUCGUGUCGUGAGAUGUUGGGUUAAGUCCCGCAACGAGCGCAACCCUUUUCCUUAUUUKCCAGCGGGUUAAGCCGGGAACUUUAAGGAUACUGCCAGUGACAAACUGGAGGAAGGCGGGGACGACGUCAAGUCAUCAUGGCCCUUACGACCAGGGCUACACACGUGCUACAAUGGUCGGUACAAAGGGUUGCUACCYAGCGAUAGGAUGCUAAUCUCAAAAAGCCGAUYGUAGUCCGGAUUGGAGUCUGCAACUGACUCCAUGAAGUCGGAAUCGCUAGUAAUCGCGGAUCAGAAKCCGCGUUGCGCCGUUGCCCC
RNAcentral lists this ribosomal RNA (1003 nucleotides) under Acinetobacter johnsonii. RNAcentral describes it as "bacterial SSU rRNA". It matches the Rfam family "Bacterial small subunit ribosomal RNA", at positions 380 to 1375 of the family's 1533-position model. The record is from RNAcentral. Lineage: Bacteria; Pseudomonadati; Pseudomonadota; Gammaproteobacteria; Moraxellales; Moraxellaceae.